This 841-nucleotide ribosomal RNA is filed under the name Mycocitrus zonatus. RNAcentral's name for it is "Acremonium zonatum partial large subunit ribosomal RNA". The record is from RNAcentral. Lineage: Eukaryota; Fungi; Ascomycota; Sordariomycetes; Hypocreales; Bionectriaceae.
AACGGCGAGUGAAGCGGCAACAGCUCAAAUUUGAAAUCUGGCCGCAAGGUCMGAGUUGUAAUUUGCAGAGGAUGCUUUUGGCGAGGUGCCUUCCGAGUUCCCUGGAACGGGACGCYAUAGAGGGUGAGAGCCCCGUACGGUAGGACCACCGAGCCUUUGUAAAGCUCCUUCGACGAGUCGAGUAGUUUGGGAAUGCUGCUCUAAAUGGGAGGUGUACGUCUUMUAAAGCUAAAUACCGGCCAGAGACCGAUAGCGCACAAGUAGAGUGAUCGAAAGAUGAAAAGCACUUUGAAAAGAGGGUUAAAAAGUACGUGAAAUUGUUGAAAGGGAAGCAUUCAUGMCCAGACUUGGGCUUGGUUGAACAUCCGGCGUUCUCGCCGGUGCACUCUGCCAGUCCAGGCCAGCAUCAGUUUGCCCCGGGGGACAAAGGCGGUGGGAAUGUGGCUCUCUCCGGGGAGUGUUAUAGCCCGCCGUGUAAUGCCCUGGGGCGGACUGAGGAACGCGCUUCGGCUCGGAUGCUGGCGUAAUGGUCAUCAAUGACCCGUCUUGAAACACGGACCAAGGAGUCGUCUUCGUAUGCGAGUGUUCGGGUGUCAAACCCCUACGCGAAAUGAAAGUGAACGUAGGUGAGAGCUUCGGCGCAUCACCGACCGAUCCUGAUGUUCUCGGACGGAUUUGAGUAAGAGCAUACGGGGCCGGACCCGAAAGAAGGUGAACUAUSCCUGUAUAGGGUGAAGCCAGASGAAACUCUSGUGGAGGCUCGCAGCGGUUCUGACGUGCAAAUCGAUCSUCAAAUAUGGGCAUGGGSCGAAAGACUAAUCGAMUCUUCUAGUAGCUGGUU